This 497-nucleotide ribosomal RNA is filed under the name uncultured bacterium. Its description in RNAcentral is "partial 16S ribosomal RNA". It matches the Rfam family "Bacterial small subunit ribosomal RNA", at positions 28 to 507 of the family's 1533-position model. The record is from RNAcentral.
GAGGAAAGCUGGCGGCGUGCCUAAUACAUGCAAGUCGAGCGAACAGACGAGGAGCUUGCUCCUCUGACGUUAGCGGCGGACGGGUGAGUAACACGUGGAUAACCUACCUAUAAGACUGGGAUAACUUCGGGAAACCGGAGCUAAUACCGGAUAAUAUAUUGAACCGCAUGGUUCAAUAGUGAAAGACGGUUUUGCUGUCACUUAUAGAUGGAUCCGCGCCGCAUUAGCUAGUUGGUAAGGUAACGGCUUACCAAGGCAACGAUGCGUAGCCGACCUGAGAGGGUGAUCGGCCACACUGGACCUGAGACACGGUCAAGACUCCUACGGGGGGCAGCAGUCGGGACUCUUCCCCAAUGGACGAAAGCCUAACGGAGCAACGCCGCGUGAGUCAUGAAGGUCUUCGGAUCGUAAAACUCUGUUAUUAGGGAAGAACAAAUGUGUAAGUAACUAUGCACGUCUUGACGGUACCUAAUCAGAAAGCCACGGCUAACUACGUG